UACAUAGGUGGCAAGCGUUGUUCGGAAUUACUGGGCGUAAAGGGCGCGUAGGCGGUCUUGUAAGUCUUGUGUGAAAUCCCUCGGCUUAACUGAGGAACUGCACGGGAUACUGCGAGACUUGAGAUCGGGAGAGGGAAGCGGAAUUCCGGGUGUAGCGGUGAAAUGCGUAGAUAUCCGGAGGAACACCGGUGGCGAAGGCGGCUUCCUGGACCGACACUGACGCUGAGGCGCGAAAGCUAGGGGAGCAAACGGG
RNAcentral lists this ribosomal RNA (253 nucleotides) under uncultured bacterium. Its description in RNAcentral is "partial 16S ribosomal RNA". It matches the Rfam family "Bacterial small subunit ribosomal RNA", at positions 524 to 776 of the family's 1533-position model. The record is from RNAcentral.